This 424-nucleotide ribosomal RNA is filed under the name uncultured Veillonella sp. Its description in RNAcentral is "bacterial SSU rRNA". It matches the Rfam family "Bacterial small subunit ribosomal RNA", at positions 338 to 759 of the family's 1533-position model. The record is from RNAcentral. Lineage: Bacteria; Bacillati; Bacillota; Negativicutes; Veillonellales; Veillonellaceae.
CCUACGGGAGGCAGCAGUGAGGAAUAUUGGUCAAUGGACGGAAGUCUGAACCAGCCAAGUAGCGUGCAGGAUGACGGCCCUAUGGGUUGUAAACUGCUUUUGUAUGGGGAUAAAGUUAGGGACGUGUCCCUAUUUGCAGGUACCAUACGAAUAAGGACCGGCUAAUUCCGUGCCAGCAGCCGCGGUAAUACGGAAGGUCCAGGCGUUAUCCGGAUUUAUUGGGUUUAAAGGGAGCGUAGGCUGGAGAUUAAGUGUGUUGUGAAAUGUAGACGCUCAACGUCUGAAUUGCAGCGCAUACUGGUUUCCUUGAGUACGCACAACGUUGGCGGAAUUCGUCGUGUAGCGGUGAAAUGCUUAGAUAUGACGAAGAACUCCGAUUGCGAAGGCAGCUGACGGGAGCGCAACUGACGCUUAAGCUCGAAGG